This 253-nucleotide ribosomal RNA is filed under the name uncultured bacterium. Its description in RNAcentral is "partial 16S ribosomal RNA". It matches the Rfam family "Bacterial small subunit ribosomal RNA", at positions 524 to 776 of the family's 1533-position model. The record is from RNAcentral.
UACGGAGGGGACUAGCGUUGUUCGGAAUUACUGGGCGUAAAGCGCACGUAGGCGGAUUUGUAAGUCAGGGGUGAAAUCCCGGGGCUCAACCUCGGAACUGCCUUUGAUACUGCAAAUCUCGAGUCCGGAAGAGGUGAGUGGAAUUCCUAGUGUAGAGGUGAAAUUCGUAGAUAUUAGGAAGAACACCAGUGGCGAAGGCGGCUCACUGGGCCGAUACUGACGCUGAGGAGCGAAAGCGUGGGGAGCGAACAGG